Molecule: long non-coding RNA, 767 nt
Filed under: Ananas comosus (pineapple)
Lineage: Eukaryota; Viridiplantae; Streptophyta; Magnoliopsida; Poales; Bromeliaceae
Description: long non-coding RNA (ACOM_LNC010632)
Source: RNAcentral
UUUUUACCCGUUAGAUCAUACUAUUCAACCAACCACCCACUCAACCAUAGGGGGCCUACAUCAUUCUAACCACACAUCUCUUAAUCCAAUGGCCAAAAACUUGGUAGCACCAACGACUUGGUGCUAUUAAUAGCUUAGUAGCCUAAUUCUAUAUAUAUAUAUAUAUAUAUAUAUAUAUAUAUAUAUAUAUAUAGAGUUAGGCUGGUAUACUAUCGGUAGCACGGAGUUCUCCGUGCUACCAAGUUGUUUUCAAUGAUGCGGCUUUCAAAUCGACGAUCGGCUCCGUUAGACUUGAUCUACACUAUUAAAAGUAUUUGAAAACUAAAUUUCAUAAUUUUUCGACAUCAUUUGGCUAGUGAUCAAAAGGUUCCAAAAUUAACAAUUUUAAUGGUAGAUAUGAUGCGUUUUUAAGUUCAAUGGUGUAGAAGUAUCCAAAUUAGAUGAAAAUUUAAUAGAAAAUUCUACUUAACAUCAAUAGCAAGACCAAUACUUCCGAUUUGAAAUUUGAAUUCUUUAUCAUUGUUUUUUAUGAGAUUUUUAUUUUCAGCCGUUCAUUUUUAGACUAUUCGUUUGAUUGGUAAAUGACGCCCAAAAAUUAUGAAAUUUAGUUUCCAAGUACUUUCAAUAGUGUAGAUCAAGUCUAAUGGAGCCGAUCGUCGAUUUAGAAGCCGCAUCAUUGAAAACAACUUGGUAGCACGGAGGCCUCCGUGCUACCGAUAGUAUACCAGCCUAGCUCUAUAUAUAUAUAUAUAUAUAUAUAUAUAUAU